RNAcentral lists this ribosomal RNA (490 nucleotides) under uncultured bacterium. RNAcentral's name for it is "partial 16S ribosomal RNA". It matches the Rfam family "Bacterial small subunit ribosomal RNA", at positions 30 to 507 of the family's 1533-position model. The record is from RNAcentral.
UGAACGCUGGCGGUAGGCCUACCACAUGCACGUCGAACGGCAGCACAGUAAGAGCUUGCUCUUACGGGUGGCGAGUGGCGGACGGGUGAGGAAUACAUCGGAAUCUACUUUUUCGUGGGGGAUAACGUAGGGAAACUUACGCUAAUACCGCAUACGACCUACGGGUGAAAGCAGGGGAUCUUCGGACCUUGCGCGAUUGAAUGAGCCGAUGUCGGAUUAGCUAGUUGGCGGGGUAAAGGCCCACCAAGGCGACGAUCCGUAGCUGGUCUGAGAGGAUGAUCAGCCACACUGGAACUGAGACACGGUCCAGACUCCUACGGGAGGCAGCAGUGGGGAAUAUUGGACAAUGGGCGCAAGCCUGAUCCAGCCAUACCGCGUGGGUGAAGAGGGCCUUCGGGUUGUAAAGCCCUUUUGUUGGGAAAGAAAAGCAGCAGGUUAAUACCCCGCUGUUCUGACGGUACCCAAAGAAUAAGCACCGGCUAACUUCGUG